Molecule: ribosomal RNA, 269 nt
Filed under: uncultured prokaryote
Description: partial 16S ribosomal RNA
Rfam family: Bacterial small subunit ribosomal RNA
Source: RNAcentral
GACGAAGGUGGCAAGCGUUGUUCGGUGUUACUGGGCUUAAAGAGUGUGUAGGCGGAAAAGUAAGCGCCUUGUGAAAGCCCCCGGCUUAACCGGGGAACUGCUCGGCGAACUGCUUUUCUUGAGGCAAGUAGGGGUGCACGGAACUCUUGGUGGAGCGGUGGAAUGCGUAGAUAUCAAGAGGAACGCCGGAGGUGAAAACGGUGCACUGGGCUUGACCUGACGCUGAGACACGAAAGCGUGGGGAGCGAACGGGAUUAGAUACCCUAGUA